This 167-nucleotide ribosomal RNA is filed under the name uncultured eukaryote. RNAcentral's name for it is "partial small subunit ribosomal RNA". It matches the Rfam family "Eukaryotic small subunit ribosomal RNA", at positions 1662 to 1828 of the family's 1831-position model. The record is from RNAcentral.
GUACACACCGCCCGUCGCUCCUACCGAUUGGGUGUGCUGGUGAAGCGCUCGGAUCGGGGACGGUCGGGAGUCUCUCCCACCGUUCCUGAGAAGUCCGUUAAACCCUCCCACCUAGAGGAAGGAGAAGUCGUAACAAGGUUUCCGUAGGUGAACCUGCAGAAGGAUCA